GUGUCAGCAGCCGCGGUAAUACGAAGGGUGCAAGCGUUAGUCGGAAUUACUGGGCGUAAAGCGUGCGUAGGCGGUUGGUUAAGUCGGAUGUGAAAGCCCUGGGCUCAACCUGGGAAUGGCACUCGAUACUGGCCAGCUGGAGUAAGGUAGAGGAUGGUGGAAUUCCCGGUGUAGCGGUGAAAUGCGUAGAGAUCGGGAGGAACAUCUGUGGCGAAGGCGGCCAUCUGGACCAUUACUGACGCUGAGGCACGAAAGCGUGGGGAGCAAACAGGAUUAGAUACCCCCGUAGUCC
Molecule: ribosomal RNA, 292 nt
Filed under: uncultured bacterium
Lineage: Bacteria
Description: partial 16S ribosomal RNA
Rfam family: Bacterial small subunit ribosomal RNA
Source: RNAcentral